Molecule: ribosomal RNA, 492 nt
Filed under: uncultured bacterium
Lineage: Bacteria
Description: partial 16S ribosomal RNA
Rfam family: Bacterial small subunit ribosomal RNA
Source: RNAcentral
AGUGAACGCUGGCGGUAGGCCUAACACAUGCAAGUCAAACGGCAGCACAGUAAGAGCUUGCUCUUACGGGUGGCGAGUGGCGGACGGGUGAGGAAUACAUCGGAAUCUACUUUUUCGUGGGGGAUAACGUAGGGAAACUUACGCUAAUACCGCAUACGACCUACGGGUGAAAGCAGGGGAUCUUCGGACCUUGCGCGAUUGAAUGAGCCGAUGUCGGAUUAGCUAGUUGGCGGGGUAAAGGCCCACCAAGGCGACGAUCCGUAGCUGGUCUGAGAGGAUGAUCAGCCACACUGGAACUGAGACACGGUCCAGACUCCUACGGGAGGCAGCAGUGGGGAAUAUUGGACAAAGGGCGCAAGCCUGAUCCAGCCAUACCGCGUGGGUGAAGAAGGCCUUCGGGUUGUAAAGCCCUUUUGUUGGGAAAGAAAAGCAGCAGGUUAAUACCCCGCUGUUCUGACGGUACCCAAAGAAUAAGCACCGGCUAACUUCGUG